Molecule: transfer RNA, 78 nt
Filed under: Candidatus Sumerlaea sp.
Lineage: Bacteria; Candidatus Sumerlaeota; Candidatus Sumerlaeia; Candidatus Sumerlaeales; Candidatus Sumerlaeaceae
Description: tRNA-Pro
Rfam family: tRNA
About the family: Transfer RNA (tRNA) molecules are approximately 80 nucleotides in length. Their secondary structure includes four short double-helical elements and three loops (D, anti-codon, and T loops).
Source: RNAcentral
CGGGGCGUAGCGCAGCCUGGUAGCGUACCUGAAUGGGGUUCAGGUGGUCGCUUGGUUCAAAUCCAGUCGCCCCGACCA